UACAGAGGGUGCGAGCGUUAAUCGGAAUUACUGGGCGUAAAGCGCACGUAGGUGGCGACGUAAGUCGGGUGUGAAAGCCCCGGGCUCAACCUGGGAAUUGCAUUCGAGACUGCAUUGCUGGAGUACGGAAGAGGAAGGCGGAAUUCCCGGUGUAGCGGUGAAAUGCGUAGAUAUCGGGAGGAACAUCAGUGGCGAAGGCGGCCUCCUGGGCCAACACUGACGCUCAUGCACGAAAGCGUGGGGAGCAAACAGG
Molecule: ribosomal RNA, 253 nt
Filed under: uncultured bacterium
Lineage: Bacteria
Description: partial 16S ribosomal RNA
Rfam family: Bacterial small subunit ribosomal RNA
Source: RNAcentral